AUGGUGGCCGCCUCCCCUUCCCCUUCGGCGGCGCCGCCCGCCACCGACUCCGCCUCACCUUCGGCGGCCUCACCUUCGGCGUCGCCGCCCGCCACUGCCGCCACCGCCUCCGGCCGCCCCCACCCGUCCUACACCAAGAUGAUUACGCAAGCGCUGACGGAGCUUGGGGGCACCAGCGGCCGCGCAGCCAUCGCCGGAUUCAUCUUGGGGCGCUUCACCGGCCUCCCCGCCGCCCACGACCACGACGCGCUCCUCUCCGCCCACCUCCGCCGCCUCGCCGCCGAGGGCGUCGUCCGCGGCUACGGAUCGAAAUCGAGAGCCUGCUACGUCUUCCCCGCCUCCGACACGCGCGGACGCGGCCGACCACGCGACGCCGCAACUCGCCUCCCCAAGAAUCAUCUAAAUUUGGAUCAUGACGACGACUCCCAGACGAUUUGGCCGGCCCCAUUCCCCUUGGCGACUUGUGUAAAUCCAGAUUGGGAUCCCAAUUCUGCUUCCAACCAGAAUUCGGUUCCCAAUCUGGAUCUGGAUGGAUUCCAGAGUAACACCAGUGAUGAUGAUGUGGCCUACAAUGGUGAGCAUGAGCAUGAUGAUGAAUACACUCCUCGGCCUGUGCCGGCAGCAAAGCGCGGGCGCGGCCGUCCUCCUAAGAUCAAGAGAGGGCGUGGGAGGCCGAGAAAGGAGGAGCAACAAUCACAGCAAGCAACAAAGCAUCCUCCAACUCCAACCGCGUCGUCAAGGUGGGGGUUCAAGCUAGGGUGUGGGAGACCAAUGCUAGCUCCUACAACUGGACACGAUGCUGAAGCUGGAGAUGCAAUGCCUGCUGAAACUGGAAGCGCUGCUUCUGCGGGAAUCAAGAGACCACGUGGGAGGCCAAGAAAGGAGAAGCCAGCAGCAGCAAUGUCUGCUCAAGCUGGGGAUGCUGCGUCGGCCGGGAUCAAGAGAGGGCGUGGGAGGCCAAGCAAGGAGAAGCCUGAUUCUGCAUCGGCCGGGAUCAAGAGAGGGCGUGGGAGGCCAAGAAAGGAGAAGCCUGAUUCUGCAUCGGCCGGGAUCAAGAGAGGGCGUGGGAGGCCAAGAAAGUAUAAUCCAGCAGCAGCAGUAUCAGCUGAAGAUGGAGAUGCUGUGUCAGCAGGAAUGGCUUGA
Molecule: ribosomal RNA, 1143 nt
Filed under: Triticum aestivum (bread wheat)
Lineage: Eukaryota; Viridiplantae; Streptophyta; Magnoliopsida; Poales; Poaceae
Description: partial small subunit ribosomal RNA
Source: RNAcentral